AAGCUGGGCACUCUGUGGAGACUGCCAGGGAUAACCUGGAGGAAGGUGGGGAUGACGUCAAAUCAUCAUGCCCCUUAUGAUCUGGGCUACACACGUGCUACAAUGGCGUAAACAAAGGGAGGCAAAGCCGCGAGGUGGAGCAAAUCCCAAAAAUAACGUCUCAGUUCGGACUGCAGUCUGCAACUCGACUGCACGAAGCUGGAAUCGCUAGUAAUCGCGAAUCAGAAUGUCGCGGUGAAUACGUUCCCGGGUCUUGUACACACCGCCCGUCACACCAUGGGAGUUGGUAACGCCCGAAGUCAGUGACCCAACCUUUCAGGAGGGAGCUGCCGAAGGCGGGACUGAUAACUGGGGUGAAGUCGUAACAAGGUAGCCGUAUCGGAAGGUGCGGCUGGAUCACCUCCUUUCUAAGGAA
Molecule: ribosomal RNA, 415 nt
Filed under: Fusicatenibacter saccharivorans
Lineage: Bacteria; Bacillati; Bacillota; Clostridia; Lachnospirales; Lachnospiraceae
Description: bacterial SSU rRNA
Rfam family: Bacterial small subunit ribosomal RNA
Source: RNAcentral